GCCCUUGUAGCUCAGUGGCUAGAGCGGUCGCUUCGUAAGCGACAGGUCGCGAGUUCAACUCUCGCCAGGGGCU
Molecule: transfer RNA, 73 nt
Filed under: Candidatus Woesearchaeota archaeon
Lineage: Archaea; Nanobdellati; Candidatus Woesearchaeota
Description: tRNA-Thr
Rfam family: tRNA
About the family: Transfer RNA (tRNA) molecules are approximately 80 nucleotides in length. Their secondary structure includes four short double-helical elements and three loops (D, anti-codon, and T loops). Further hydrogen bonds mediate the characteristic L-shaped molecular structure. tRNAs have two regions of fundamental functional importance: the anti-codon, which is responsible for specific mRNA codon recognition, and the 3' end, to which the tRNAs corresponding amino acid is attached (by aminoacyl-tRNA synthetases). tRNAs cope with the degeneracy of the genetic code in two manners: having more than one tRNA (with a specific anti-codon) for a particular amino acid; and 'wobble' base-pairing, i.e. permitting non-standard base-pairing at the 3rd anti-codon position.
Source: RNAcentral